This is a long non-coding RNA of Bos taurus (domestic cattle), 879 nucleotides long. The record is from Ensembl. NCBI's taxonomy places the organism in Eukaryota, Metazoa, Chordata, Mammalia, Artiodactyla, Bovidae.
GUAGCCUCAGGGAGCUGAUUUCUUAUGGAAGAGUUUGAGCUCAGUCAUUCUAGACCAGUAUAACUCACGCAGGAGGAAACCCUUAGGCCCGAGCUCAAGGGGGAACCAGGCCUCUUCACUGUUCCUUCCUUGGCCACCCUAGAGGCUCACAGCAGUGUCUCUUGGUCAGAUCUGAAAGAGAGCUCUUGUCGCGUCUGUUACAGAUAUUUAAGCCAUUACCCCAGAGCGACUCUACCCUACUGGAAGGAAGCUGGCCUCCUCCUAUAGAUGCUGGGCGGCGCUCCGGAGCUCGCAACUUAGGAAGGAAGCUGCUAUCUUCCAUCUCGGACACCAGGUGGCACCAAAUCACAAGCAUAACGCCAAAGAAAACUGGCAGGAAAUGGACCUUGAGAGUCCUUGAACUAUUUUUCUCCCUCCCUAUUCCCCACAUGGAAUUGAAAAAUAAGAAACCUUUCAGAUAUGGUGGAUAAUUCUAAUUCAGUAAAAACACUUUAAUCUUCCAGCGGAAGGUUCCUAGGAUUUAAAUGCAGCCUUAGUCCCCACCCUUCCCGGAGACCUAGUUCUCAGCAGCAGAUAAGGAAAAUGGUGACUUUCCUGGAAUCAUUUCAGAUGCCUCCACCCUCCAGAAGAGUUGUUUUUCUCCCAGGUGGUAAGCUGAGAAGUAGCAGACACCAGACUUCAGAGGCUCUACUCAAAUCCUGGGCCCCCUUCUGAAGGGCCAAGUGCUCUGUCAUGUGUGUGCUAGGAAAUGACCAUGUCUAAACAAGUUGUAAUGUGGCCAACCAGCCUCAUGGCCUCUUGCAUCCAAACAGGACCACUUCCAGCCCCCACAAAUACACUCCAUAAGUCCCCAUUCCCAGGUUCCUCCACCUGGAAUGC